GCCUGGGCUUGUCCAUUCUGGUUCUAGAGGCACAAUUCCCAGCACCUGCACCAGUUAUCACAGCUGCCUUCCUUGGCUGCCAGCCCUGGUUCAUGGAUCAGCUAGCUGAGUAGCACCUUGGUAUGCCUGGCCUGUGGGCCGAUAUGCUUCCCCAGACAGGAAUUUCGUUUGAUGGUGCAAAUGGAUGCAUCUGAUCUGCUUUCCACAUGGUACAUGGAAUGUUCUGGAACUCAUGUUAGCGUGCCAUCCUCCACUCACCAUGCACAAGCUCCUUAGUAGAGACCAUCUGAGUACCACCUCCCAGAGGUGGCAAUGCCCAGGAAGUCGGCCUGCAGCAGGGACAGGGUGGAGGAAGAGGGAGCCCAGCCCCACACUGUGGAGUCAGAGCAUUCUCUCCAGGUGGCCUUGGCCUUGGCGAACUGCUGCUGAAGCUCCGUGAGACCCCGGCGCUCAUCGCGGAGCAGCCAGCACAGCUCCUUCAGCGUCACCUUCAUGUCGGCCAGGGUCUUGAUGUACUCGUUGGGCUGCAGAGAGGAAAGGCCUGGGUCAGCAGCGUGGGAGGUGGGAAGGAACCCAGCUCGGGGCUCCCUGGGCCUCCAGCAGGUCCCCUCCAGGAUGAGCCCAGCCCUGGCUCCCUCCUGGGCAGACGUGAGUCCCAGCCUCACACGAACAAAGACUCCCGCAGUCACAGUAGUAACUAUUCCACCUAAAUUGAGCCGAAUAAUCUGGCCUCCUCAAGGUUUUCUGCAGCCUCUAGCCUGUCUCUCUGACCCACUGGAGGCCUCCAAGGAGCCUCCCUAACUGUGCUGAACCCAAUUCCAAAUCUUCUUUCCUAGGCCCACGACCCCAUUUCCCACCCAUACCCAGCUCACUCACUGUGUGUGGCUCUAGAAGUCUGAACCUCCUCUUCUCUCUCAUAUGUGGCUUGAUCACAGAGUUCUUAGUCCCAGAAAAUAAAGGCCCCUCUUUUAUUUA
Marmota flaviventris (yellow-bellied marmot) is the source of this 975-nucleotide long non-coding RNA. RefSeq lists it as uncharacterized. The record is from RefSeq and is a predicted model, not a curated record. Lineage: Eukaryota; Metazoa; Chordata; Mammalia; Rodentia; Sciuridae.